This 445-nucleotide ribosomal RNA is filed under the name uncultured bacterium. RNAcentral's name for it is "partial 16S ribosomal RNA". It matches the Rfam family "Bacterial small subunit ribosomal RNA", at positions 354 to 796 of the family's 1533-position model. The record is from RNAcentral.
GUAGGGAAUAUUGGACAAUGGGCGAAAGCCUGAUCCAGCCAAGCCGCGUGAUAGAUGAAGGCCCUCUGGGUUGUAAAUAUCUUUUAUCUGGGAAGAAACUCCUCUAUUCUUAGAGGCCUGACGGUACCAGAGGAAUAAGCACCGGCUAACUCCGUGCCAGCAGCCGCGGUAAUACGGAGGGUGCAAGCGUUAUCCGGAUUCACUGGGUUUAAAGGGUGCGUAGGCGGGUUGAUAAGUCAGUGGUGAAAGCUCCGGGCUUAACUUGGAAACUGCCAUUGAUACUGUCAAUCUUGAAUGUCGUAGAGGUAAGCGGAAUGUUGCAUGUAGCGGUGAAAUGCUUAGAUAUGUUACAGAACACCAAUUGCGAAGGCAGCUUACUAUGCGAUAAUUGACGCUGAGGCACGAAAGCGUGGGGAGCAAACAGGAUUAGAAACCCGGGUAGUCC